GGGGGCGAAAUUGGUUUCGACGGGGGUGUAGAAGUAUAAUAAGCGAGCCGCUGCCGCCAAACAGCGUUAAAAGUGGCAACCUAAAUUAAAAGCAAAAACAAACAAUAAUUUAGCAUUCGCAGCGUAAGCUGCUAGCUUGUUCCACUUAGCCGACCUGUAGGCUAUACUGGGGCAUCAAACAAAUCAGGGAACUGCAUUAGGGACGCUCCGACCUUUUGUGGAACAAUUGGAGAUAGCCGGGUGUGGUAUUUGUCGAGAUUGACCACAUCAAGCGAUAACUAAAUCUUGACUGCGCUCGGAGAAAGUUAUAUGGAAAUGCUUUCGGACGUGGGUUCGACUCCCACCGCCUUCACCA
Molecule: non-coding RNA, 355 nt
Organism: Clostridiales bacterium 38_11
Lineage: Bacteria; Bacillati; Bacillota; Clostridia; Eubacteriales
Source: Rfam